This 2316-nucleotide long non-coding RNA is filed under the name Canis lupus familiaris (dog). Its description in RNAcentral is "lncRNA (ENSCAFG00000050555.1)". Lineage: Eukaryota; Metazoa; Chordata; Mammalia; Carnivora; Canidae. The record is from RNAcentral.
UUUUUUUUUUUUUGCCUUUUAUGAAGUUCUUUGAAUAGAUUUACUUCACUGUUCACCCAAGAGAAUCCCUCUUCACAAUAUUAUUGAAUUUGGCAAUCCAAUUGAGGCUGAGAGGCAUUCCAAAUGGAUUUGCUAAAUCAGCUUUUAUUCUGAGGCAUACAAGCAACACUGCAUUCUAGAAAAAGAGGCAUUCCAGUUAAAAAGAGAAGCUGCCCUUUGGUUUGCCCUCUACCUCCUAUUAUCAACUUUCUUCUAUUUUCAAAUCUAUUCUUCAAGGAGGACAAGCUCCAAUGGAGGAUUGGGAGAUGGAAUCUCCUCUGAGCCAGGCAAUGUUCUUUUCUAUUCGCAACCACUCCACUGCCAAACUGCAGUGGGCUUGUUAAUUUAUUCUACGUGAAUGCCAACAUGACAGCCAAGGAAGCAGCCUCACGUACACCCAACAGUUCACCAUUGGAAUCACAUCACGAUGUAUGUUAGGACACUUGCAAUAUCUCUCGUGCUCUUUUUCCUAGGAUUGCAAUCUGUAAAGCCACCAUACGCCAGAACCACCAGUGUCCAUAUUUGUCACUUUGUGGAAAGGACUUGCCUAAAAUGGAAAGCAGUACAAAGUAGAGCCAAGAAAAGGAGAGAACCCUGCCAACGUCAUGUGAGCUCUUGGAAUCAACCAUGCCUGAAGACAGAAUUAUCCCAUGGACUUUCUAGUGAUACAAGCUAAUAAAUCCCUAUGCUUUUUCAAUGUAAGCAAGGUUAGUUGGAAUAUUUUGUCACUUGCGAAUGCAUGAGCUCUAAAUAAUGAAUAGCGUGUAGUUAAGAGGAAAGAAGGCUGCCUUUGGUGUAUUUCCCAAUAGGAAACAGAUGGCACUCUCAAAUUGGAAAAUUUUAGAGGAUUUUUUUUUUUAAAUUAAGGUCCUAUUUCCAAAGUUGUAGGUAGGGUGGAUCAGAACCACAGGGGUUGUGUGGUAACUCAGAGCUGGUUAGAGCAGUGCUAUAAUUACCCACAAGCCUAAAAGGACAAGAGAAAGGACCAGUUAUCAGAACACAAAAUGGGAGUCAUGCAGGAAAAAAAGCUACCUUGAAAUAAACAGUGAUGUUUAGUCAAGGGACACAGGUGGCUUAAGGUGAAUUCACAAGAAAAGAUCCAUGGAAAUAAACUCUUGCCCUAGUUCUGAUCUCCUGCCUAGGAUACCCUACUUGCCAUACUCAACUGAAAGUCAGAGAAACCUGGGAUGUAGUGCACAUAAACCAUCCUCCCAGGGCAGAGAUAAAAAUUUAGAAGGGUGAAAAUUGACCUGCAAUUUCAAAUGAAAGAUAUUCAAUGAAACCUACAUGCUUUGUCCCUCACCAUUCAUUCUUUUCCUUCAUCCAGUUGAAAAAUUCAUGUUCUCAUCUUGGGACACAUAUGAAAUCUCAUUAGCUGUUGUAUUAUCAUGGGAUGAUAAUGACUCCAUCAUACGGCCACCUGUCUUUCAAGGUCACCCCUGAGUGUGAUUGUUGUGUGGUUUCUGUCCUUCUUCAUCUGGUGCCAGCAGAGCAAGGCGAUCUACCUAUAAAUCAGGCCCAUGGUUUGCCUCCACAAUUAAGUAGGCAUUUUGAACUCUCCAUGCAGUCACAGUUGUGGAUGAGGAAAAGAUGACAAAGCAAUAGAAGCAGAUACGAUAUGAAUUCAGCCACCAGCCCCUAAAGCUGAUGAAUAUGUUCAAGACCAGAUAUGUACAUACUAUUUCAAUUUUAUCAUUUAUGUUCAACUUUAAAUUCUGUAGGUCAAGUAUACCUAUACAUAUAGUGGGAAGUUCAGAUUGCAUAGUCAUUUUAUUUCCCAUGAUCAAGUGCUAUCUAUCAAAACCUGCUAGCAAGCCAGGAGUUGUUUUUCAAAUGGAAAAUAGUUGUCAGUAAAGAAGGACAUGGCCUCAUUCCAGAUCCCUGUGUUGUGAUUUUCCUACUGAAUUUGCCAGAGGCUCAAAGAGCAUCUUGUCUGCCACAAAUGCUUCCUUUAUUUAUAGUGUCCCAUAUUAUUAGGCUCAGAUAGCAGAGCAAAUUGCAUUGUAACCUAGAACUACUACAGAGUCCAUUAUUACUACCGGUCCCACUCAAAAAUUGUAACCUUCUGAAUUGCCAAUAAAUAGAAUGAGAGGAUUACCCCCAAAUACAUGCAUUGCCAGCAAAAUCCUGAACAGCUUUAGAUGGAUCCCAUUGUUUUAAUAUUUUAUUUAUUUAUUCACAAAAGACACACACAGAGAGAGAGAGAGAGAGGCAGAGACACAGGCAGAGGGAGAAACAGGCUCCAUGCAGGAAGCCUGACGAAGGACGUGAUCCCGG